UCUAGUCACCGUGUAGCGGCGGAAAGUGCCGUAUGAAUUGUGCACGUGGGUUUUCUGCGAAGACGCGAUAACGGCGGUUGGUGUACGAAGUUUGUGCCACUGUUUUCUGCCCUAUCAACAUGCGGACCGAAGUAUUCGAACCGGACAUUUUAGAGAGAGAGAGACUCCCACCGCCUCCCGCCCCGCGACGGAGACGGUUUAUUCGUUUCUUGCUGCCCCGCCUCUACAACCGCCGCUAUGGCCAGGACCUGGAGUGGAUUGACCAGGAGGAGGGCACUUUCCGCAUCCGCUGGGGUCUGGACCCAGGGAUUUCUCAGAGGGGCCCUCCUGUACAGUUCUUUAAGGACUGGGCUGUCAUAAAGAGGAUCUGGAAUGAGGCGGAUCCAAAAAACCUUGACAAGGCAAAAGACCGAGUUCGAAUGGCCUUAUCGAAUAUCAGAUAUGUGAAGCAAGUAAAAUCGGAGAACAAGAACUACCGGUGCUUUAGAAUUGAAAACCAGCAGCUUCUUGAUGACACAAAACGCAGAUUGCGUCUCAGGCAGCAAAUGAGAGAUGGUAUUUUGAGUCAUGUUAAGUUUUGUGCCAUCCACAAAACUGCCUAUGCGCCCUGCUGCUGCCAGUGCUACUCUUGGAGGACUCCACCUGGGCCAAUAUUUCCAGAUCAAAAGGAAGGAGACAUUACGUAUAUCUGCGACCAAUUUGAGUUCUUCUGCACGCAGACGAGCCAGCGAUACACGCACCCCCUCUACUGGAUGUUAUUUUGAAAACUCCGCUCAUGCACCGAUUGGCACACGAAAACCCAUUGCUGUGAUAGAAGGAAAAAGAAAUUGCUGGGCGCAUACUGCCAUCUGCUGACCAAAACACCAAUUAAGCUAGGACGAGCGUCUCUCGUCCAAAAUGCUCAAGGGGUGAACAAAUACUGCAAGUGUACCCUCAUGUUCAGUGUUGGUACAGGAUGGAUGACUAUGGGAACUUGCAGUUAACAAGUACAGAUCUCCCCAUCUAAGGGUACUCG
Molecule: RNA transcript, 1015 nt
Organism: Dermacentor andersoni
Lineage: Eukaryota; Metazoa; Arthropoda; Arachnida; Ixodida; Ixodidae
Source: RefSeq, a predicted model, not a curated record